This is a non-coding RNA of Sturnus vulgaris (Common starling), 135 nucleotides long. The record is from RefSeq and is a predicted model, not a curated record. NCBI's taxonomy places the organism in Eukaryota, Metazoa, Chordata, Aves, Passeriformes, Sturnidae.
UGGAGACAGACUGUAUUUAAAUGGUGGUCUCUCAGAAGGUGAAAUACCUUAACAUUUACAUAAGCUAUUCCUCAGUAAUAAAAGGUGAUGCAGGUACCUGCACAGGUUGGUGUGACUAAACUAGAAUUGCCCAAG